AUUCAUGUAGUUUAAAAACAAAACAUUUCAUUUUCAAUGAAAAAAUAAGAUACACUUCUUGAAUA
Molecule: transfer RNA, 65 nt
Filed under: Isometopus sp.
Lineage: Eukaryota; Metazoa; Arthropoda; Insecta; Hemiptera; Miridae
Description: tRNA-Glu
Rfam family: tRNA
About the family: Transfer RNA (tRNA) molecules are approximately 80 nucleotides in length. Their secondary structure includes four short double-helical elements and three loops (D, anti-codon, and T loops).
Source: RNAcentral